Molecule: non-coding RNA, 2789 nt
Organism: Meleagris gallopavo (turkey)
Lineage: Eukaryota; Metazoa; Chordata; Aves; Galliformes; Phasianidae
Source: RefSeq, a predicted model, not a curated record
UGUGACACCCUCAGGGUUGAGGAGCGCCGGCGACAAGUGGCUUUCUGCCUGCCGUGGCUCGUGACUGCCGGUGUGCUAGAACCCAGGGUACGAGUGUCUAGAAUGCCCAAGUAUGCACAGCAGCUUAGAGAUCAUGACAGAAAUCCUUGCAUAGCGGAAACAGAUGCCUCUAGAAAAUGUAUGGAUGACAACAACUAUAAAAAGGAUAUGUGUACUGAUUAUUUUUUGAAGUACAAAAACUGCAGAAAAUUUUGGCAUGACAUUAUGAUGCAAAGGAAAAGAAAUGGUGUGAAACCGGAGAUGCCCUCAGCAGAAGAGAGAAAGAAAAUCUUGGAAUCAGUAGAGAAGCCAUACUGACUACAAACUUGCAUUGUUUUACUGUUUUCACUGUACAUACGAAGACUUGUCAGCAGCAGGUUGCCCUCUUGUAAACUGGACUUCACUGUUGCCAUAUCUUGGAUUAAAGCUGACUCGAUGCCAGAGCAGAGAAAUCACAUUAUAUCCUGAAGGAAAUAAUUCAAGCACCUCACCUGGCAAUUCUGCUGAGAUUUGUUCCUUCUGGAUACGCAGCCUUUACUUGGAACUGUCGGCUCUCACCCAAAUUGUUAGUUAGGAGCUUCCCAAAACACAGAAAUGUAACAGGUGAACUCCAGCUGCCUAGAUCACUAUGACAACAUUCAUUUCUUCCAGCUGCACAAACAGAAAUGCAAGAGAUUUGUCAUUCGGGAGAGGGAAGAAAUAGUUGCUUUGGAAAUUCUCCGCCCUUCACAUCAUGGCUUUCCACCUCCGCUCCAACAGAAUAUAGACACCUUAAAAAAGGCAGCAGUUGCCCUUCCAACAUCUGAAGCCAAAAUGCAUGGCAAUUACAAAUCAGCAGGCUUGAGUCACAAGUAUGUGUUUACCUACACAAUUCAUACUCAUCACAGUAACUCAGAGCAGGCAUCUAAGUCCAUUCCCCAGCAUAUGAAUGCUACACAAGAAGCAUGCCCUUGGGCAAGGUGGGCUUUUAUCUUUGACUUAGUUAUGGUGCAAAAGAUUAAUAUUUUCCUUUUGAGCUAAAGGCACAGCUUACCAGUGCUUACACCUCAGCUUUUAGCACUAAGUGCCUGAUUCAAUCACAUCUUCGUUAACACUGGUAUCUAGGUACAUACUCAUGUUUGACAAUUGCUUAAAGAUAAGUUAUUUAUAUCUCUGCAGCUCUGAGCAAAGUUCGCAAAAUGUAGCAUUUUAAUUUACAUGUUGGUACAUGGCAAACAUCUCAAUACCUGGGAAGGAACAGACAACUGCAAGAUCAGAGCGAGUUAGUUCAGAAGGCUUUACAGUGCAAGCAUUAGGACUGGUUUCCAUACCAAUUCUGGUAACAGAAAAACAUUUGUCAAAAAGCAAAGUAGGUCAGGAAACAAGUUCCUCUUUCUCUUCCUAAUUCCCUUUCAAAUGGUGCAAAGUAUACACAGAAGUUCUAGCACAGAAAAGGCAGUAAAACUGAUUUAAGUAUUUCUUACAGUGCAAUAUUUUCAUAGAUACUGCAGUGAUUUUACCUGCAGUAGACUCUCACAUCUGCAGAGCUAUGACAGAUCUGAGCCAAGGUAGAAUUAGAUGGGAGAAUUGUUACUAAAGUUACUAAACUUCACAUGUACCAAAACCAACAUUUUUUUUGUUACAAUUUAUUUGCUGUGUCUAAAACAGAAGUAGGAAGUCUUCAGAGCAGAUGCAGCUACAGAGUUUAACUUCACUAAGUUAAUUAGAAGGGUGAAAGGUAACAUACUUUACUGGCAUGAAAGGAGAUUGGUAUCUCCAGAGCAGAUACGAAUGUUACAGAGAGCUGCAAAACAGUCCUUAAUCCCUACAGAAAACACAAGGGAGGUAACAGCCUUCUGAAUAUAAUAUUCUGUUUCAUCUAAAACCAGUUUCGAGUGUAUCAGCAAUUUAGUAAGUGAUAUAAUCAGGUAUCAGGCUUUUACAGGGCAGAGACAUGCUAGAGCUCAGAGGAGGACUCAUUUUCUCUUGGGGAAGUAGAAUUGGUUUAGGUAUAGGGGUUAUCAAACUCCACACCCCUCACUGAGAUGCUUACCACUUCCCUCUGCUGUGCAUCCCUUAGCCUACCCGUGCCUGGCCCACAGCCCUGUUCUGCCAACUCACAGCACAGGGCUGCUCUGACAGCAGCCUGACAGCCGUAACUAGGAGCACAUGAGUGGGAAUAGAUUUACACGUGAAUGAGCCACAGAUACCUUUGGCACACAUAGGACAAGCAGAUUCCUGCAUUUCCUCACCAGUCAUUCUGGUGACACACAUUGCUUUUAAUACCUCUCCCCCUCCCUCUCACAUCAGUACGAAGGGCUUCUGUGCAGUAGCAAAGUCUCAAGAGGUUUCACAACAGCUUAUCAGUCAGAUUGCUUUCCAGCCACAGAGAGUUUCCAAAACAGACUUGUAUAUGCAGGUUCUGAUGCUGUCAGCUGAGCAGCCCCUGCAGACUUCUAGUGUCCACAAGCUUCAAGGACAGAACUGAGACUACUAUCAUGGAGCACCUUGAGUUGGAAGGGACCUUAAAGCCCAUCCAGUCCUGCCGUGGUCAGGGCUGCUCCCCACCAGCUCAGCUACCCAGGAACCCGUCCAACCUGGCUUUGAGUACCUCCAGGGAUGGGACACCACAGCUUCUCAGGGCAGCUGUGCCAGGGCCUCACUGUGUAAAGGAUUUCUUGCUACUAUCUAACCUGAGUUUCCCCUCUUGUAAUUAAAAGCCAUUCCUCCCAUCCUAUCACUAUCAGAAUGCAUUAAAAAAAUCAGCCUCU